UACGUAGGGUGCAAGCGUUGUCCGGAAUUACUGGGCGUAAAGGGUUCGCAGGCGGCCUUUUAAGUCAGAUGUGAAAUCCUAUAGCUUAACUAUAGUAAGCAUUUGAAACUGAAAGGCUUGAGUCAAGGAGAGGAAAGUGGAAUUCCUAGUGUAGCGGUGAAAUGCGUAGAUAUUAGGAGGAAUAUCAGUGGUGAAGGCGACUUUCUGGACUUGUACUGACGCUGAGGAACGAAAGCAUGGGUAGUAAACAGG
This 252-nucleotide ribosomal RNA is filed under the name uncultured bacterium. Its description in RNAcentral is "partial 16S ribosomal RNA". It matches the Rfam family "Bacterial small subunit ribosomal RNA", at positions 524 to 776 of the family's 1533-position model. The record is from RNAcentral.